This 305-nucleotide ribosomal RNA is filed under the name uncultured bacterium. RNAcentral's name for it is "bacterial SSU rRNA". It matches the Rfam family "Bacterial small subunit ribosomal RNA", at positions 338 to 660 of the family's 1533-position model. The record is from RNAcentral.
CCUACGGGACGCAGCAGUGGGGAAUAUUGCACAAUGGGGGGAACCCUGAUGCAGCGACGCCGCGUGAGUGAAGAAGUAUUUCGGUAUGUAAAGCUCUAUCAGCAGGGAAGAAGAUGACGGUACCUGACUAAGAAGCCCCGGCUAACUACGUGCCAGCAGCCGCGGUAAUACGUAGGGGGCAAGUGUUAUCUGGAUUUACUGGGUGUAAAGGGAGCGUAGACGGCAAGGCAAGUCUGGAGUGAAAGCCCGGGGCCCAACCCCGGGACUGCUUUGGAAACUGCCGGGCUGGAGUGUCGGAGGGGGAC